This 1571-nucleotide ribosomal RNA is filed under the name Streptococcus infantis. RNAcentral describes it as "partial 23S ribosomal RNA". It matches the Rfam family "Bacterial large subunit ribosomal RNA", at positions 259 to 1850 of the family's 2925-position model. The record is from RNAcentral. Lineage: Bacteria; Bacillati; Bacillota; Bacilli; Lactobacillales; Streptococcaceae.
GGGAAAGAGCCCAAACCAAAGAUUUAUCUUUGGGGUUGCGGACAGAACAUUAAAGUGGAGGCUAUUGUAAUUGAAGAGUACUGGAAAGUACCACCGUAGAAGGUAAUAGUCCUGUAAGUAAAACGAGAAGACCACGAGUUCUGAUCCAGAGUACCACGAGACACGUGAAACCUUGUGGGAAGCAGGGAGGACCACCUCCCAAGGCUAAAUACUACCUGAUGACCGAUAGUGAAGCAGUACCGUGAGGGAAAGGUGAAAAGAACCCCGGGAGGGGAGUGAAAUAGAACCUGAAACCGUGUGCCUACAACCGGUCAAAGCCCCAUAUGAGGGUGAUGACGUGCUUUUUGUAGAACGAGCCAACGAGUUACGGUAUGUAGCAAGGUUAAGUACUUAAGGUACGGAGCCGAAGGGAAACCGAGUCUUAAUAGGGCGACUAGUUGCAUGCCGUAGACCCGAAACCGGGUGACCUAUCCAUGGCCAGGUUGAAGCGAGGGUAAAACUUCGUGGAGGACCGAACCACGUUGCUGUUGAAAAAGCAUGGGAUGAGCUGUGGAUAGCGGAGAAAUUCCAAUCGAACUCGGAGAUAGCUGGUUCUCCCCGAAAUAGCUUUAGGGCUAGCGUCGGAUAUGUGUAGUGGAGGUAGAGCACUGAAUGGGCUAGGGGGCAUAUCGCUUACCGAACCUUAUCAAACUCCGAAUGCCAUAUACAUUUAGUCCGGCAGUCAGACUACGAAUGAUAAGAUCCGUGGUCAAAAGGGAAACAGCCCAGAUCGUCAGCUAAGGUCCCAAAGUGUAAGUUAAGUGGAAAAGGAUGUGGGAUUUCUAAGACAACUAGGAUGUUGGCUUAGAAGCAGCCACUCAUUUAAAGAGUGCGUAAUAGCUCACUAGUCGAGAGAUCCUGCGCCGAAAAUGUCCGGGGCUCAAACUUACCACCGAAGCUACGGGCUUGCGUAAGCAAGCGGUAGGGGAGCGUCGUAAUCGGGCUGAAGUCGUACCGUAAGGAGCGGUGGACUGAUUACGAGUGAGAAUGUUGGCAUUAGUAGCGAGAUGUAGGUGAGAAUCCUACAGGCCGAAUAUCUAAGGUUUCCUCAGGAAGGCUCGUCCGCUGAGGGUUAGUCGGGACCUAAGCCGAGGCCGAAAGGCGUAGGCGAUGGACAAUCGGUUGAUAUUCCGAUACCACUACCAUCGUUAUUAUCGAGGGUGUGACGGAGAAGGAUAGUGUGUGCUAGCGAUUGGAAAUGCUAGUCUAAGCGUUUAGGGAGUUACGGUAGGCAAAUCCGCUGUAACAAUUCUGAGGCGUGAUGGGGAAGGCCAUAUAGGCCGAAGUACAUGAUUCCAUGCUUCCAAGAAAAGCAUCUAGAGAGAGAAGUAGUGCCCGUACCGCAAACCGACACAGGUAGAUGAGGAGAGAAUCCUAAGGCCGGCGGAAGAAUUGCAGUUAAGGAACUAGGCAAAUUGACCCCGUAAGUUCGCGAGAAGGGGUGCCUGCGAGAGCAGGCCGCAGAGAAUAGGCCCAAGCAACUGUUUAGCAAAAACACAGGUCUCUGCUAAAGCGUAAGCUGAUGUAUAGGG